AGUGAACGCUGGCGGUAGGCCUAACACAUGCAAGUCGAACGGCAGCACAGUAAGAGCUUGCUCUUACGGGUGGCGAGUGGCGGACGGGUGAGGAAUACAUCGGAAUCUACUUUUUCGUGGGGGAUAACGUAGGGAAACUUACGCUAAUACCGCAUACGACCUACGGGUGAAAGCAGGGGAUCUUCGGACCUUGCGCGAUUGAAUAAGCCGAUGUCGGAUUAGCUAGUUGGCGGGGUAAAGGCCCACCAAGGCGACGAUCCGUAGCUGGUCUGAGAGGAUGAUCAGCCACACUGGAACUGAGACACGGUCCAGACUCCUACGGGAGGCGGCAGUGGGGAAUAUUGGACAAUGGGCGCAAGCCUGAUCCAGCCAUACCGCGUGGGUGAAGAAGGCCUUCGGGUUGUAAAGCCCUUUUGUUGGGAAAGAAAAGCAGCAGGUUAAUACCCCGCUGUUCUGACGGUACCCAAAGAAUAAGCACCGGCUAACUUCGUG
Molecule: ribosomal RNA, 492 nt
Filed under: uncultured bacterium
Lineage: Bacteria
Description: partial 16S ribosomal RNA
Rfam family: Bacterial small subunit ribosomal RNA
Source: RNAcentral